AGGCUUCCUCCCUGCCUCCCGCCCCUCACCACACCCACUCACUCCCCCAAGUAAUUAAGUCUAAACUGGGGCCUGUGCAGUGAUUGGCCGCGCCGGGUCUCACUGCGGAUGAACUUGACUUGUUCCAAUGAUCUGUGACAGACAUCUGCAGACAGCGCCCUUAACAGAAUUAGGGUCAGGCUGGUAUCAAACCCCAGGAACGCCAGGCAUUGCCUCAAAGUAGAUGCAAACCGUUAAAUCUUCCAGGACUCAGAAGGACCAGAGAGAGCCGGAUACCUCUGUUUGCCUGAGAAUACAGAUCAACCCACAGAACAAAGCGGAUUUCCAAGGCAUCUCCCCAGAGCGAGCCUUUGCUGAUUUUCUCUUUGCCAGCACCAUCCUGCACCUUGUUGUCAUGAACUUUGUUGGCUGAAUCAUUCUCAUUUACUUAAUUGAGGAGUAGGAGACUAAAAGAAUGUUCACUCUUUGAAUUUCCUGGAUAAGAGUUCUGGAGAUGGCAGCUUAUUGGACACAUGGAUUUUCUUCAGAUUUGCACUUACUGCUAGCUCUGCUUUUUAUGCAGGAGAAAAGCCCAGAGUUCACUGUGUGUCAGAACAACUUUCUAACAAACAUUUAUUAAUCCAGCCUCUGCCUUUCAUUAAAUGUAACCUUUUGCCUUCCAAAUUAAAGAACUCCAUGCCAC
Molecule: long non-coding RNA, 682 nt
Filed under: Homo sapiens (human)
Lineage: Eukaryota; Metazoa; Chordata; Mammalia; Primates; Hominidae
Description: HSALNT0208122
Source: RNAcentral